Molecule: ribosomal RNA, 341 nt
Filed under: uncultured bacterium
Lineage: Bacteria
Description: partial 16S ribosomal RNA
Rfam family: Bacterial small subunit ribosomal RNA
Source: RNAcentral
CCUACGGGUGGCUGCAGUGGGGAAUAUUGGGCAAUGGGCGCAAGCCUGACCCAGCAACGCCGCGUGAAUGAAGAAGGCUUUCGGGUUGUAAACUUCUUUUCUGAGGGACGAAGGAAGUGACGGUACCUCAGGAAUAAGCCACGGCUAACUACGUGCCAGCAGCCGCGGUAAUACGUAGGUGGCAAGCGUUAUCCGGAUUAAUUGGGUGGAAAGGGCGUGUAGACGGGAAAGCAAGUCAGAUGGGAAAACUCAUGGCUCAACCCUGAGACUGCAUUUGAAACUGUGUUUAUUAAGUGCUGGAGAGGCAAGCGGGAAUCCGUGGGUAGCGGUGAAAUGCGUAG